Molecule: transfer RNA, 77 nt
Filed under: Pseudomonadota bacterium
Lineage: Bacteria; Pseudomonadati; Pseudomonadota
Also listed under: 1 other name
Description: Proteobacteria bacterium tRNA-Pro
Rfam family: tRNA
About the family: Transfer RNA (tRNA) molecules are approximately 80 nucleotides in length.
Source: RNAcentral
CGGGGCGUAGCGCAGCCUGGUAGCGCGUUAGCAUGGGGUGCUAAAGGUCGUGGGUUCAAAUCCCGCCGUCCCGACCA